CAGUAGCCGCGGGAAUACGUAGGGUGCAAGCGUUAAUCGGAAUUACUGGGCGUAAAGCGUGCGCAGGCGGUUAUAUAAGACAGAUGUGAAAUCCCCGGGCUAAACCUGGGAACUGCAUUUGUGACUGUAUAGCUAGAGUACGGCAGAGGGGGAUGGAAUUCCGCGUGUAGCAGUGAAAUGCGUAGAUAUGCGGAGGAACACCGAUGGCGAAGGCAAUCCCCUGGGCCUGUACUGACGCUCAUGCACGAAAGCGUGGGGAGCAAACAGGAUUAGAUACCCCAGUAGUCCCUGUCUCUUAUAC
Molecule: ribosomal RNA, 301 nt
Filed under: uncultured bacterium
Lineage: Bacteria
Description: partial 16S ribosomal RNA
Rfam family: Bacterial small subunit ribosomal RNA
Source: RNAcentral